UGCGGGACUAUCAGUCUUGCAAUUGGAUUGAGAACAAUGUACAACUCUUAUCGAUAAGCCAUUGGAGGGCAAGUCUGGUGCCAGCAGCCGCGGUAAUUCCAGCUCCAAUAGCGUAUAUUAACGUUGUUGCAGUUAAAAAGCUCGUAGUUGAAGUGUGGGUGAUCGCUGUUGUGAGACUUCGGUCUCUCGACAGUAAGUCACCCCCUUCCAGUAUCCAGUAGUGGGUAUUCAGUUACUUACUAUUGUGUGUUGGUCCUUUACUGUGAGAAAAUUAGAGUGUUCAAAGCAGGCGUUUGCUUGAAUAGAUUAGCAUGGAAUAAUAAUUGAAGGCUUUCGUGUUCGAUUUGAUUGGUUUGUUCAUGGAAGCAAGGUUAAAAGGAACAGUUGGGGGUAUUCAUAUUCACUAGUUAGAGGUGAAAUUCUCGGAUUUAUGGAAGAUGAACAA
RNAcentral lists this ribosomal RNA (445 nucleotides) under Blastocystis sp. subtype 1. RNAcentral describes it as "SSU rRNA". It matches the Rfam family "Eukaryotic small subunit ribosomal RNA", at positions 484 to 942 of the family's 1831-position model. Lineage: Eukaryota; Bigyra; Opalinata; Blastocystidae. The record is from RNAcentral.